UACGGAGGAUGCGAGCGUUAUCCGGAUUUAUUGGGUUUAAAGGGUGCGUAGGCGGACGCUUAAGUCAGCGGUAAAAUUGCGGGGCUCAACCUCGUCGAGCCGUUGAAACUGGGUGCCUUGAGUGGGCGAGAAGUACGCGGAAUGCGUGGUGUAGCGGUGAAAUGCAUAGAUAUCACGCAGAACUCCGAUUGCGAAGGCAGCGUACCGGCGCCCAACUGACGCUGAAGCACGAGGGCGUGGGUAUCGAACAGG
Molecule: ribosomal RNA, 252 nt
Filed under: uncultured bacterium
Lineage: Bacteria
Description: partial 16S ribosomal RNA
Rfam family: Bacterial small subunit ribosomal RNA
Source: RNAcentral